CUACGAAGGGGGCUAGCGUUGUUCGGAUUUACUGGGCGUAAAGCGCACGUAGGCGGAUUGAUCAGUUAGGGGUGAAAUCCCGAGGCUCAGCCUCGGAACUGCCUUUAAUACUGUCAGUCUAGAGACCGGAAGAGGUGAGUGGAACUCCUAGUGUAGAGGUGGAAUUCGUAGAUAUUAGGAAGAACACCAGUGGCGGAGGCGGCUCACUGGUCCGGUACUGACGCUGAGGUGCGAAAGCGUGGGGAGCGAACAGGAUUAGAAACCCGGGUAGGCC
RNAcentral lists this ribosomal RNA (274 nucleotides) under uncultured bacterium. RNAcentral's name for it is "partial 16S ribosomal RNA". It matches the Rfam family "Bacterial small subunit ribosomal RNA", at positions 523 to 796 of the family's 1533-position model. The record is from RNAcentral.